Long non-coding RNA from Formica exsecta, 764 nucleotides. RefSeq lists it as uncharacterized. The transcript has 2 exons. NCBI's taxonomy places the organism in Eukaryota, Metazoa, Arthropoda, Insecta, Hymenoptera, Formicidae. The record is from RefSeq and is a predicted model, not a curated record.
CAGAUAUUAAAAAGGAGUAUCAACAAUGCCAAGUUAUUGUUCAAAAAGUAGACAUACAACAAGCCGGAACAAUACGAGAACAGAAACGAAAACCAUUAUCUACUAUUAAUUUUGACACCUCAAAUAUUUCAACGAAAUCAGUUAAACGCCGAAAAUAAUUAUAAAAAAUGCAAAGGAAAACUAGCAUUUGAAACUAUUUACAUCAUUUUACAUUAAUUCUGGCAAAGUUUAGCUUCUGUGAUAUUAGAGUAUAGUUUGCCAAGACUGCAAUAAAAAAUUCAUUGAAAAAACGAACAAGAAGAAGAUACCUUAAACGGAUUUAUCAAAGCAACACGAGCAACAAUUUUCUAAUACAGAGUUGUACUAGUUAUGAAGCCUGUACUGUAAGCUGAAACAAAAGAUUUAAUUAUUUGUUUAAGGGAAUGUUAAUUUUCUAGAGAUUUUAUUUUUGUAAGUUUUUCUUUACUUCUUCUUAUUGUCAUACAUUGCGUUGUAAUUUGUAAUGUGGUAUGUAAUAGUCAUAAUUAUACUGCGAUAUAUGUAAAGUGCAAAAGUAGUUGUUACAUAUGUUGUUUUAAAUACUUUAUAACAUACAUUAUUAUUGUCUAACAGUACUUUCAGUUAUUUCCACAUAUAUGUAAAAAAAAAUGUGUAAAACUCAUUUAUUUUUCAAGAUCUGAUUCAAAUUUCUCUUAUAAAAUACUUUGUAUUGUACGUACAAAUAUAUUUUAUGUGGUUCAAUAAAUUUUAUUUACAGUAAAAGA